This 380-nucleotide long non-coding RNA is filed under the name Monodelphis domestica (gray short-tailed opossum). RNAcentral describes it as "lncRNA (ENSMODG00000040245.1)". The record is from RNAcentral. Lineage: Eukaryota; Metazoa; Chordata; Mammalia; Didelphimorphia; Didelphidae.
GAAAGUGAAACCUGUGAGGUGAAGAUUUGAUCUCUCCUGGACACUCCUGGAUAACUUGCAAGCAGUCUCUUUGAAUACCAUCAAACAAGGAUUUAGCUGAAUUGUUCCAGAGCCAAGAUGGUGGAGUAACCCAACAAAAUAAACACAGGAAUGAAAGACUAACAGAGUUAAGCAACUUUCAUGAAGAGAACAACUUGAAAGGUGAAGAGAAAGUCAGUGGAGAAUGAUUCUUGUCUUCAAAUAUUUAGGUGCUGACACCAUGGAAUAGAGAAGUCUUUUGUUUAUAAGGAUUAUAGGAAAUAAUUAAAACAUUAAAAGAAAACUGUGAAAUAGUUUCCUCUCCUAGCUUUGCGGUGAACAUAAAAAAGUAUUUGCUGUCA